GCUUGAGGUUCCAUCCCAAAGAACAUAGAAUGAGCAGGGACGGAAGGAUGCACCGCUCAGACCUUGACUAGAGCACUGUCAGCUGUGGGUAUUGGAGGGUCUGCCUCUGAAUUCAACCAACCACAAAAAUAAUUCAGAGAAAGAAUGUGUCUGUACUAAACAUGUACAGACUUAUUAUUCCCUAAACAGUAGAGAAUGACUUUAACAUGAGCACUUACAUCGUAUUAGGUUCCGUGAGUCACGUGGGGAUGGUUUGGAGUGCGGGAGGCUAUGCGUGGGGUGUAGACAGAUACUAUGCCGUUUACAAGGGGCUUUGAUAUCUGAGAGGGACUCCUGAAACCCCACCAGCUGUACUCCUGCCUUCAUAGUUGGGAUUUUAUAGCUAAGUAACAAGAGGUCAGAACAAAGCUCAGGGUGGGAUUCUUUCUUUUUUAAUUUUGUGGUGCUGGGGAUCAAACCCAGGGCCUUGCGAAUACUAGGCAAGUGCUCUACCAGCUGAGCUCCAUCUCCCACCCCGGCCGGGUUUCCUUAAGCCUGCUUGAUGUCCUGAGUGGUAGGCACCUGAGAACUCUCAAACCUCGCAGGGAGAAGACUAACCGCAGUGCUGCUGUCGGCUGCAUCUGGGGAGGAUCAUCCAGCUCUGUCACCCAUGCCUUUCCAGUCACUUUCUGCCAACCUGGGGAGGAAAGGAGCAUGAAUUCAAAACACCCAAAUUUGGGUUCCAGGAUCCAACAGAGACAAAACUAGCUGCCCCAAUCCAGAGUAGGGCAGGGCUUCAGUUUUUUUAAGUUGCAUUCAAGGCUGGGCAUCAGGCACGGGGUGACUUAGGCCAGUCCCAUCCACUGUGUCACUUCACUCCCCGUCUUCUGAGUUCUUCCUUUCCCACCCAAGAGACUUCACAUUAGGUGCUUGGCAUGACUUGUGGCUCACAGCACUCAGUGAAAGGUGGGCACCCUCAUUAGUGCUUUUACCCUGGGCCUCCCUGCCUCCGGGCGGGGCGCUCUGAGUGCACCAGCGUGAC
RNAcentral lists this long non-coding RNA (1021 nucleotides) under Marmota monax (woodchuck). The record is from RNAcentral. Lineage: Eukaryota; Metazoa; Chordata; Mammalia; Rodentia; Sciuridae.